Molecule: long non-coding RNA, 310 nt
Organism: Xenia sp. Carnegie-2017
Lineage: Eukaryota; Metazoa; Cnidaria; Anthozoa; Malacalcyonacea; Xeniidae
Exons: 2
Source: RefSeq, a predicted model, not a curated record
GAGCUGAAGAAGAGAAAUACUUCAAUGAAUAAGCUGACGUAGAAAAAAUAUUCGAAAAGCAACAGCAACUACAACACAUUCAACACUUCUUCAACAAACAUCCUUCAUUCUUGAUGAGGCUUCUGAAGAAAAUCCCAACUCGUUGUCGACUACAGCAUGAAUACUUGUUGCCUAUAUGAAGUAACAACAUAAUCUUAAACUGGACAUGCAUUCAUAGAUUUAUUAGGAAAUUUCAGUGGAGUGAUAAAUAAGGACCAUGUAAAAUUUCUUGUUUUGAGGAGUCUGAAAUGAUUCAUAAAUUCACUUACAA